UUAAGGCUCUUUGAGCUUUUGCUUAAGGAAAUGCUGCCAAAUUUUGCUUUUAGGGGCAUUAAUGUACUUUGUAUGCCUGCUUUCUUUUCUUGCUAAGGCAAGGAAGCACAAGGGCUAGGUUUAGCCUCAAGCAAGUUGAGUGUUGGUGCCAUAGAGCAGUCUUUAUAUUCCUGAGUCCUUGGAUGAAGAGCUAUCCAACAUGAAGGUGAAAUGGAGGAUAGCACCAGAGGGACAAUGCUCUGCAGUAGCUCGGGUUCUUUACACAAACAGCUGCCAGGAGCCAUUGCCUCUCCCCAGACCUGAAGAAGGACUUGUGUGCCUCAAAGCUUGACUGUUU
Molecule: long non-coding RNA, 337 nt
Organism: Pezoporus flaviventris
Lineage: Eukaryota; Metazoa; Chordata; Aves; Psittaciformes; Psittacidae
Exons: 3
Source: RefSeq, a predicted model, not a curated record